RNAcentral lists this ribosomal RNA (301 nucleotides) under uncultured bacterium. Its description in RNAcentral is "partial 16S ribosomal RNA". It matches the Rfam family "Bacterial small subunit ribosomal RNA", at positions 509 to 808 of the family's 1533-position model. The record is from RNAcentral.
CAGUCGCCGCGGGAAUACGUAGGUGGCAAGCGUUGUCCGGAAUUAUUGGGCGUAGAGCGCGCGCAGGCGGAUCAGUUAGUCUGUCUUAAAAGUUCGGGGCUUAACCCCGUGAGGGGAUGGAAACUGCUGAUCUAGAGUAUCGGAGAGGAAAGUGGAAUUCCUAGUGUAGCGGUGAAAUGCGUAGAUAUUAGGAAGAACACCAGUGGCGAAGGCGACUUUCUGGACGAAAACUGACGCUGAGGCGCGAAAGCCAGGGGAGCGAACGGGAUUAGAUACCCCUGUAGUCCCUGUCUCUUAUACC